GGGAUUGCUAUGGUUCCUGACAGGGUUGGAUACUUGGAUUGCUGCUUUUCCGGUGGAGGAAAGGCUAUUGCCCUGUAGGGGAGGGAACAGUUGGGGGCGACGUGGCCGAUCUUUGUGAGAGAUUUUUUUUUUUCCGGUGGAGGAAAGGUGAUUGCUGUAGAGGACGGAACAGUUGGACGACGUGGCCGAUCUUGGUGAGAGAAAUUUUCAGGAUUUGGUCUCUAGAUAGAAGAGAUCAGAGAUAGAGAUAUAGAAACCGACUAUCUGCAGAAUAAGGAAAUCGAUCGACUUCCAACUAACCUAGAU
RNAcentral lists this long non-coding RNA (306 nucleotides) under Setaria viridis. Its description in RNAcentral is "long non-coding RNA (SVIR_LNC007330)". The record is from RNAcentral. Lineage: Eukaryota; Viridiplantae; Streptophyta; Magnoliopsida; Poales; Poaceae.